UUGCCAGUCGGCUCCAUUGUGAUGUCAGCGGCCUCAGGAGCAGCUUGGCUGAGGCAGAGACUGCUCACCUCUGCUUCUGGGUGCUGUGGGGGUGUUAGGUGUGUUUCGGAUGCACAUGUCCAUACUAGGCCUCUCUGAUGUUGCACUUGGGCCCAAACAGAGGGAAGACCAAGUUCAAUAUCCGGCCCAUGUCAAAUGGAGAAUUCAGAACAAUCACCUGGGCUGGGGUGAAGACUUGGACUGCUGAAUCAGCCACUCUGCUUUAAGUGUGAUGUAGAGAUGUUGCUGUGUCAGACGUCCUCAGAUCAGAAAGCCCAGGGAAUGGAGGCUGCAGUCCCUCAGGACAACAUGCUGGCUUAAGUGGAGCCAUUUCCUAUGGAAAUGAGCCUGUGCACACCUUCCCUGUGGUGAGAGAUAGCUAUCUGGGUCUUAGGUUUUCUCCCUAACUUCUUUAGCCAGGAGCACAAUUCUGAAACUGUUUGAUCUGUUUCACAGGUGGUAAAAAUACUCUGAGGUCACUAUGCUAGCCAUUCUCUCCCAGGACCAUGAAUUCUUUGUGCCACAGAAUAUAAAAUAAAAUGAAGAGUGAAAAUGU
Molecule: non-coding RNA, 595 nt
Organism: Oryctolagus cuniculus (rabbit)
Lineage: Eukaryota; Metazoa; Chordata; Mammalia; Lagomorpha; Leporidae
Source: RefSeq, a predicted model, not a curated record